GCGCCCGUAGCUUAAUUGGUGAAGCAGCUCGCUCUUAACGAGAAGAUUGAAGGUUCGAGUCCUUCCGGGCGCA
This 73-nucleotide transfer RNA is filed under the name Candidatus Yanofskybacteria bacterium RIFCSPHIGHO2_01_FULL_44_24. RNAcentral's name for it is "tRNA-Lys". It matches the Rfam family "tRNA". Rfam says of the family: Transfer RNA (tRNA) molecules are approximately 80 nucleotides in length. RNAcentral also lists the same sequence under 2 other names. Lineage: Bacteria; Candidatus Yanofskyibacteriota. The record is from RNAcentral.